This 483-nucleotide ribosomal RNA is filed under the name uncultured bacterium. RNAcentral's name for it is "SSU rRNA". It matches the Rfam family "Bacterial small subunit ribosomal RNA", at positions 26 to 523 of the family's 1533-position model. The record is from RNAcentral.
AGGACGAACGCUGGCGGCGUGCUUAACACAUGCAAGUCGAGCGGUGAUCCUCCUUCGGGAGGUGAGCAGCGGCGAACGGGUGAGUAACACGUGGGCAACCUGCCCCUCACACUGGGAUAACCUCGGGAAACCGGGGCUAAUACCGGAUAUGACCUCGAGCGGCAUCUCUUGAGGUGGAAAGCUCCGACGGUGAGGGAUGGGCCCGCGGCCUAUCAGCUUGUUGGUGGGGUAAUGGCCUACCAAGGCGACGACGGGUAGCCGGCCUGAGAGGGCGACCGGCCACACUGGGACUGAGACACGGCCCAGACUCCUACGGGAGGCAGCAGUGGGGAAUAUUGCGCAAUGGGCGAAAGCCUGACGCAGCGACGCCGCGUGAGGGAUGAAGGCCUUCGGGUUGUAAACCGUCUUUCAGCAGGGACGAAGCGAAAGUGACGGUACCUGCAGAAGAAGCACCGGCUAACUACGCGCCAGCAGCCGCGGUAA